CUCCUACGGGAGGCAGCAGUAGGGAAUAUUAGUAAUGGGCGAAAGCCUGAACUAGCGACACCGCGUGUGCGAAGAAGGCCUUCGGGUUGUAAAGCACUUUUAGAGAGGAUGAGGAAGGACGGUACUCUCUGAAUAAGUCUCGGCUAACUACGUGCCAGCAGCCGCGGUAACACGUAGGAGGCAAACGUUAUCCGGAUUUACUGGGCGUAAAGCGCGUGUAGGUGGUUCUGUAAGUAGGGCGUGAAAGCUCCUGGCUCAACUGGGAGAGGCCGUUCUAAACUGCAGGACUAGAGGAUGGUAGAGGAAGGUGGAAUUCCGGGUGUAGCGGUGGAAUGCGCAGAUAUCCGGAGGAACACCAGUGGCGAAGGCGGCCUUCUGGACCACUCCUGACACUCAGACGCGAAAGCUAGGGUAGCAAACGGGAU
This 425-nucleotide ribosomal RNA is filed under the name uncultured bacterium. RNAcentral's name for it is "bacterial SSU rRNA". It matches the Rfam family "Bacterial small subunit ribosomal RNA", at positions 336 to 778 of the family's 1533-position model. The record is from RNAcentral.